RNAcentral lists this ribosomal RNA (253 nucleotides) under uncultured bacterium. RNAcentral describes it as "partial 16S ribosomal RNA". It matches the Rfam family "Bacterial small subunit ribosomal RNA", at positions 524 to 776 of the family's 1533-position model. The record is from RNAcentral.
UACGUAGGUGGCAAGCGUUGUCCGGAAUCACUGGGCGUAAAGCGCGCGCAGGCGGCGAUCUACGUCUGGGGUGAAAUCCCGGGGCUUAACCCCGGGCCUGCAGUGGAUACGGGCAGGCUGGAGGCAGGCAGGGGAGAGCGGAAUUCCCGGUGUAGCGGUGAAAUGCGCAGAUAUCGGGAGGAACACCGGUGGCGAAGGCGGUUCUCUGGGCCUGUACUGACGCUGAGGAGCGAAAGCGUGGGGAGCGAACAGG